RNAcentral lists this ribosomal RNA (410 nucleotides) under uncultured bacterium. RNAcentral describes it as "bacterial SSU rRNA". It matches the Rfam family "Bacterial small subunit ribosomal RNA", at positions 355 to 775 of the family's 1533-position model. The record is from RNAcentral.
UCGAGGAUCUUCGGCAAUGGGCGCAAGCCUGACCGAGCGACGCCGCGUGCGCGAUGAAGGCCUUCGGGUUGUAAAGCGCUGUCGAGGGAGAGGAAGCCGAAAGGUUGACCGACCCCUGGAGGAAGCACGGGCUAAGUUCGUGCCAGCAGCCGCGGUAAGACGAACCGUGCGAACGUUAUUCGGAUUCACUGGGCUUAAAGGGCGCGUAGGCGGACGAGCAAGUCCGGGGUGAAAUCUUUCGGCUUAACCGGAAAAGUGCCUGGGAAACUGCUCGUCUUGAGGGAGGUAGGGGCCUGUGGAACUUCCGGUGGAGCGGUGAAAUGCGUUGAUAUCGGAAGGAACGCCGGUGGCGAAAGCGACGGGCUGGCCCUCCACUGACGCUGAGGCGCGAAAGCCAGGGGAGCGAACGG